This 331-nucleotide ribosomal RNA is filed under the name uncultured bacterium. Its description in RNAcentral is "bacterial SSU rRNA". It matches the Rfam family "Bacterial small subunit ribosomal RNA", at positions 28 to 346 of the family's 1533-position model. The record is from RNAcentral.
GAUGAACGCUAGCGGGAGGCUUAAUACAUGCAAGUCGAGGGGCAGCAUGACUAAACCUAGUUUAGUUGAUGGCGACCGGCGAACGGGUGAGUAACGCGUACGCGAACUUACCUCCGAGUGAGGCAUAGCCCUGGGAAACUGGGAUUAAUACCGUCAUAGUAUUUAGAUAUGGCAUCAUGUUUAGAUUAAAGCGUUAGUGCUCGGAGAUAGGCGUGCGUCCUAUUAGCUAGUUGGUGAGGUAAUGGGCUCACCAAGGCAACGAUAGGUAGGGGGCGUGAGAGCGUGGACCCCCCACACGGGGUACUGAGACACGGGACCCGAUCCUACGGGA